Long non-coding RNA from Neofelis nebulosa (Clouded leopard), 2772 nucleotides. RefSeq lists it as uncharacterized. Lineage: Eukaryota; Metazoa; Chordata; Mammalia; Carnivora; Felidae. The transcript has 3 exons. The record is from RefSeq and is a predicted model, not a curated record.
UGCCCUGGGCCACCAGCUUGACUUUACUAUACACGGCCGGGCAGCACCAGCCACAGACAGCAUCCAGGAGAGAGGUUGUCACAAGCACGGGAGAAACUCCCUGUGUCCCAGGGAAGAGAACACCCCAUAGUCCCUGACUCCGAUUGACGCCCAUGUUUCUUUUUCCUGCCUCUGCUCAGCCAACUUGUUGAAUAGUGAAUAGUGAACAGGGCCAAGAAUUAGAGGGGCAUAAAAGGCCAUAGUGUGCAAAACGAAUUGUCUUCUCAUCCCUGUGCCCAAAGGCAGUCCGUUCCCCGUGGCAGGCAGCCUGGGGGGGAUCAUCCACAGCUAUCUGCAUUUUUACACAUGGACUCUUUUUUUUUUUAAUGCAAAGUAAUAGCCUAUCUCGCGCACUGUUUUGCUCCUUUAUGUUGCCCCAUUUUGCAACAAUCUUGGGGAUUGUUCAACAUCCAUAACUAUGUAUAACAGCCUGUUCUUUAAGUGGUUGUAUAAUAUUCGUCUUUUAAAAAAAUGUUUAUUUUGAGAGAGAGAGAGUGAGCGAGUGUGCACGAGGGAGGAGCAGAGGGAGAGAGGAAGAGAGAGGAUCCCCAGCAGGCUCCCCACCGGCAGCACAGAGCCCCGCGUGGGGCUCCAUCCCACCAACUGUGAGAUCACGACCUGAGCCGAAACCGAGAGUUGGACCCUUAACCGACGGAGCCACCCCGGGCACCCCCAGGGGUUGCAUAACUUCCUAGUAACAGGAACGAUUACUGAAUUCACUGAGAAUUUAAUGUAAAUGAAAGACAGCUCUGUGUUACGUGCAUGAACCCGUCUCCCCGCAAAGCAGCCUCCGAGCUGAGGACUGUUGACAGAUGAGGCCAGAGCACAGAGAGUGUGCGUCACUUGCCCAGGGUCACAAGGCAAGUAGGAGGAUGUGAGUCCCGGCGGUCUGAGUGCGGAGCCGGCCGCGUUCGUGAACACCGUGUUCCACAGCCCCCAGCAAACGCGUGGCCGGUAACCUCCUGCGUCGAGGGCUGUGCGCACGCGUGCAACCUUAACUGCAGUAUGAGUUCUUCACGGUGGAAUUGCUGCAUUAUUGUGAACUUUUCAUGGUUGCUGUCAGACUGCCCACCAGAGAGGCCGGGCCAGCUCCAGCCGAGUCCCUGUGUCGCACAUGCUCGUCCCCGUGGCUACGGAUCGUCGUAGCCGUGGUCAGUCUGAUGGGAAACCGAGGCUCCUUCCUGUAGCUUUCACCUGCGCUUUUCUUGUAACGCACGAGGUGGGACGUCUUUUGCACGUUGAAGACGUGUCUGUGUUUCUUUGUCUGGUGAGCAGAGGAGGUGGCCUGGGCUUAGGCUGGACGGCUUGAGUCACAGCGCUUGCCCCCCACUCCCGAUCUGCCGUUUAAUCGUUCGAUGACCUUGAGCACUGCCUGUAACCUCCCUGUGCCUCAGUGUCCUCAUGUGAACCUGGGAGUGGUGACAAUGCCCACCCAGUGGGAGGUGAGGGUUUAACCAGCUCACGUACGCCCGGGGCUGAGAACAAGGGCUCUGGAUGGGCUCGUGGCGAGCGGUUCACCUGUUUCCAGACCCUUUAGUGCUUGGCUCUGUUCUGCCCACUGACAUCCACGUUUUUCUUUUCUGUGACUCAGCUCCAUAGAUGUCGCAGAAAUGGACGACAGUUACUCAGCGCCUCUCAGCUCCUAAUUCAUUGCUGUGCCUUGUGCCUGAGCGUGUCAUGUAGCUGUUGAGUCCACAGUGGGCUGGAAGGCUGGAAAAGCUACUGUGAGCCCAACCAGCGGGGUCCCGGCUCCUUGGAGAUCAUAGGCUGGUGGGGGAGACAGGCAUUCAUCAGAGAAUCACAUGGAAAAACACAUGAUUACACUGACCAAGCUGGGCGCCACGAAGGAGGUGAUGCCUGGGGCUCUGAGAACCUCGCCCAGAGUCCCCUCUUGCCGGGAGGGGUCUAUGGGCUGGGGGUUUGGUGUGUGCUCAGUGACCAGUGAGGCUGACUGGGGACGGCAGUGGCUCAGGCAGGGACACGGGCUUCAGGAAACACCAGGUCACCGGCUUAUCCUGCAGGGCGGGGUGCUAUGGAUGGUCGGAUGGAGAGGGAGGCCGGCCCGGUUGUGAAGGCUGGACUGCUGGGCGUGGGCUUCGGGCUUUGAGUCGGACUGGGGUCUGUCACCCUCGGAGAAGGUGAACCCUCAGACCGCCCCCUUGCCGCUUCAAUUUCAGUGGGAUUUCUAAGCUCCUUUCUUUUCAAGCAUUCACCGAUUUGGUGUCGGGAUGCUUCCCCAGGGAUUUAGUUCAGAAGUUUUACUUUGAAAGUCUUUGCUUUGUUGUUUCUGCUACUUUUGUCUGUUUUGUCACGAAUGCGUGAAAAUAUCCAAGACGGUCAUUUGACACUCAUGUACACAGCUCUCUUUGGGACGAUAUUCCUUCCCAGUCACUGCAGCCUGACGUUCCUAAACAUCCUGGGUAUUUCGGUGCUGGGGGAAGUCAGCGCUGUAGGAGACGUGCUGUCCCCGAAGACUCUGGCCUGAGUGGUGAUCACCGUGUACAGCCCAGAAGACCAGCCGGCAGGCACUGCAGAUGCUAAGAUGGGCUAGGAGUGCUCCACGAUCUCUGGACACUCGCGCAGUUCACAGAGAAGACAGACUCACAGAGGGUCCCGGCAAGGUGGCACGGGGUACAGGCACUGUGCAGGUACGGCAGGGACCAAAGUAAAGUCCUUGUCCUCACAAGCUGUCCGUGGUCGGCGGGGACAGAAAAUAAAUAAAGAUGAAAUGUA